This 308-nucleotide ribosomal RNA is filed under the name Vreelandella aquamarina. RNAcentral's name for it is "bacterial SSU rRNA". It matches the Rfam family "Bacterial small subunit ribosomal RNA", at positions 1044 to 1350 of the family's 1533-position model. The record is from RNAcentral. Lineage: Bacteria; Pseudomonadati; Pseudomonadota; Gammaproteobacteria; Oceanospirillales; Halomonadaceae.
CAUGGCUGUCGUCAGCUCGUGUUGUGAAAUGUUGGGUUAAGUCCCGUAACGAGCGCAACCCUUGUCCUUAUUUGCCAGCGGGUAAUGGCGGGAACUCUAGGCGAGACUCCCGGUGACACCGGGGGAGAAGGGGGGGGAGAUCUCAAGUUAUCAUGGUCCUUACGAGUAGGGCUACACACGUGCUACAAUGGUCGGUACAAAGGGUUGACAACUCGCGAGAGUGAACCUAUCCCGAAAAGCCGAUCUCUGUCCGGAUCGGAGUCUGCAACUGGUCUCCGAGAAGUCGGAAUCGUUAGUAAUCGUGGAUC